UUAAGCUCUGNACUGCCAUCAAAACCUGUUCAGCUAGAGUUUGAUAGACGCAAAGCAGAAUUUCUAGUCGUAGAGGUGAGAGUCGUAGCUAUUAGAAAAGAAUCCCCAUUGCGAAGGCAGCUUUCUGGAUCAUUACUGACACUGAGGAACGAAAGCAUGGGUAGCGAAGAGGAUUAGAUACCCUCGUAGUCCAUGCCGUAAACGAUGUGUGUUAGACGUUGGAAAUUUAUUUUCUGUGUCGCAGCGAAAGCGAUACACACACCGCCUGGGGAGUACGUCCGCAAGGUUAAAACUCAAAUGAAUUGACGGGGACCCGCACAAGUAGUGGAGCAUGUGGUUUAAUUCGAAGAUACGCGCAGAACCUUACCAACACUUGACAUGUUCGUCGCGACUUUAAGAGAUUAAAGUUUUCGGUUCGGCCGGACGAAACACAGGUGCUGCAUGGCUGUCGUCAGCUCGUGUCGUGAGAUGUUGGGUUAAGUCCCGCAACGAGCGCAACCCUCACUUUUAGUUGCCAUCAUUUAGUUGGGCACUCUGAAAGAACUGCCAGUGAUAAGCUGGAGGAAGGUGGGGAUGACGUCAAGUCCUCAUGGCCCUUACGUGUUGGGCUACACACGUGCUACAAUGAUAUCUACAACAGGAAGCAAGACGGCGACGUUAAGCAAAUCCUUAAAAGAUAUCUCAGUUCGGAUUGCACUCUGCAACUCGAGUGCAUGAAGCUGGAAUUACUAGUAAUCGUGGAUCAGCGUGCCACGGUGAAUGCGUUCCCGGGUCUUGUACACACCGCCCGUCACACCAUGGGAGUUGGUUCUACCUUAAGGCAAGGUUUAAUACCCUUGACCACGGUAUAGUCAGCGACUGGGGUGAAGUCGUACCAAGGUAGCCGUA
This 888-nucleotide ribosomal RNA is filed under the name uncultured bacterium. RNAcentral describes it as "bacterial SSU rRNA". It matches the Rfam family "Bacterial small subunit ribosomal RNA", at positions 609 to 1504 of the family's 1533-position model. The record is from RNAcentral.